GCAUCUUUAAUCUUUAUAUUCUUUUCCAUCUAAACUUUGAUUCAGAUCAGAUAUUUAAAAUCUGCAGAGCCAGGAAUCUGUCUGGGAGAGCUCAAUAAAUAAAUUUUCCUUCUGCUGUAUUUUAAAUUAAAAUUUAAUGUUUGUGGGUUUAUGUUAUUAGCAUAAGUAUGUUAUUCAUUAAUAGGAUUUUUGUUUCAAGCAUUGAAGGGGAAAGAACAUCGAGGUCUAAAUCAAAUUUCAAAUGCCAUAAAAUUUUACCCAUUUCUUCCAUUAGCCCAUUUCACUUUUUCUUAUUUGAAAGUAAGGAUGUUUUGAAAUUUCAAUGCUUUGAAAAAUAGUUUUCUUUUAACACACUCACCUUCAUACCCUUUUCAGCCCUAUAAGUCAAUAUUGCCAUAGAGGUAUAAUAUCACUCUACAGAUCAAGCAUGUGAUUCAUAGUGGCCUCUGCUUCUGCUUAGGCAGUUUGGUAGAUGAUAAACUAAGAUUUAUUUAUAGAUUAAGGCCAAAGAGAUAUUUUGCUGAAAUAAAAAGGUUGAAUGCUCCAGCUUCCAGAUGUUAAUUUCAGCAAGAACUGGUCUAAACAGAGAUUCCAUCUUGCUAAUGCUGAGAAUAAUAAAUACACCCACCAGAACGUUUCAGUUAUUAACUCUGAGAAGCCUUGUGAAUUUACCCAAGCCUGGUCAGAUUUCCAUAAGUUGUUUGUGAGUGUAUUUUUAACAGAAAAGGGGGAAGCUUGAGCAGUUAUGGUGCUUAGAUUGUUCAGGAAUGAUGAGAGCUGAACUUCUGUAUACUAUUUACAAAGGAUGUGAAAGAACCUUGAACACUUAGGCAGUAGCACUCUCAUCUUUCUGGUCAUGUUAUGAAGACACACCCUUUUGGCUUGUCCUCGUGGUGCAUGGGGAAUUCUUAAUUCCUGGGGUUUUAUUAAAAAAAAAAAUCCCAUUUUUCUUAAUUCCUGUUAUUUUAAUCAAUAAAAGUUACAGUUAGCUACUCACCUGGUUUCCUUCCCUUUUAACAUUCUGUUUCCCACAAAUAUAUGCUGUGUCCAGAUCAAACCCCAAAGAAAUGUGUUUUCUCUUAGUGCUUGUACAUUUGCAGGUGCACCACACCAAACCAAACUCAUUCCAAGGCUGGUCAGAGAUGUUCACUACAAGGAACUUAAGAAAACAGGAUGUUUUUCUUCUCUCCCAGGCCUGUGCUCUACCAGUCUGACCUGCUUAUCCUCCUUGUUCUGCCAUUCUCUUUUCUGAUAUUCAGGAAUCAGGUUGUGCCAUUUAAUUUAUUCCUACGCUUUUCACCUUGCCUUUAUGUCAGUGCUGGAUGUUUAUAAAUGCUUAAAAAAUUUUUCAAAAAGGCAGAAAGAGUACCAUCAGGAUCAAAACCAGUUUUAACUUCCCGGGUGCAGUUCACCUGGCUGCUUUUCAGAGCCAGUAAUUGCUUCAGAAGGACUCAGGGCAUAAAUGUGACUAGAAAUAGGACCCCUUCUAGCCAUAACUAAUUUUAACAGCAUUUUGCAUAGAAGUGUUUCAAAAUGCUUUAUGUUGUCCUAAUCUCACAGGUAAAAAACUGAGUCAUCAGAAGGUUUAAAUGUGCCAUUAGACCAGACAGUGGGCUUGGACAUAAUUUUCUGACUUCCAGUCCUGUCCUUUGAUCACAGGAUUUCUUCAGUGCAUUCAAGCAUAUAAUUUCUGUUCAUUGUCCCACAUGUAUUACUUGUGUCAGGAUGAAUCACAUCUCUCUACAUAUGGUAUAAAACUGUAAGUCAGCUCUUACAUAUUUAUUUAUUUAUUAUAUUAAUUUUUGAAGUGCCUGGUGGCCUAGCAUCCAUCCAGCAGCAUCCAACAGCAUCCUAGCAACAACUCUUGACACACAAAGUUGAUCAUUCUGUCAUGUUUAUUGUAUUCCAUAAAGAUUUUGUUUUAGUCUCAGGGAAAAUGAGGUUGAAAUAGUUUAUUUUAUAAAAAUCUUGACAGUUUAUAAAUUUCUUAAAGAUGGAUAUUGCUUGCUAUGUUGUUGAAAUGGUAAAAAGUCCUCUCUGGUGCAAGUUGAUUGACAUAAUAAUAGGUUAUAGCUUUUUCAAGUGUACUUUGAAAGCUGUAUGAGGCAGAGUAAAAAGCCUCAAGGCUCAUUGCAGUUUCACAGCUUGAUUUUCUAGUAGGCUCCCAACUGUCACUCAUGUGACAGGUUCCACGUGAUAACCUAGCUCCUGACCAUCUAAGCCCUUUUCCCAGCGUGGCAGUGGUGUGGUGCACAAGGCAAUGUGCUCACAGGGGAGAGCUUUCCAGCUGAGCUGCUCAGGGUUUCACAGGGAAGUCUCAGAAGUUCCUGGAGGAAGCCUGGACAUCUGUGAAUGGCCUUGUUACCUCCAAGGCCUCUCCAGGAACAAGGACAGUGGGCACAAACAAACACGGGAAGAUCUGUCUGGUGAAAAGGGAAAACUGUACUUUGAAGGUGACAGGGCACUGGACAGGCUGCCCAGAGAAGCCAUGGGGUGUCCUUAUCUGGAAAUACUCAAGACUCACCUGGACUUGAUCCUGUACAACCUGCUCCAGAGCUCCAGAGCUCUACAGCCACAGGAAGCACAGAGGACUGCUGGGGAGGAGAAUUGCUUCCCUGGCUCCUGCAGCUUGGACACAACCAUGGAGCAAUCAGGAGGGUAAUCAAGGAGAAAGCAUACAAGAAUUGCCACAAGAACAUUGUGUCUUACUAGGAGUUCCUAGUGCUGGUGAAAUUCAGAGUUUAUGUUUUCUCAAAACAUCUUGAAAGAGAACUGAAGUCUCACUGCAGUGAGCAAACACAGAAUCUUUACUGGCUUUCCUAGAUUCUGGUUCUUGCUCCUCUUCCCUUAAAAUAUUUUGGACUGUGUAGCAGAUCCAGCUCUGCAGUCUGCACUUGAAGAUGUGGCACACUAGCAAGGAAAUAAUCUUUCUGGCCCCACCAGCAACUACUUACAGUGGAAAGCAACAGUGGGAAGCCAUUAUGUAGCUAUUGAUGAUGUUAUCAAAAUGUAUUACUAAGAGAAAGAUGAAAAGCUGUCCACUGAUCUUUUUAGAAUGACUGACAAAAAGCUUCCAAACCAUUCCGUGAACACUGAACUCCCUGCUUACCUUUACAAGUCUUUCUGUCCCACUGUCUUUGGGCACAGGAAGCUCCAAGUGGUAGAAACCCACAGGUAGGCCAAAGCAGGAGUACUGAAGGGAUGUUAGAAGGGUAGAUGGAGUGAUGCUGUCCUCUGAUGGAUUCAUUGCCCAGAUUUAUGUGUUUCUAUAAAAACCUGCAGUGCUGUUCUCAGACCCUCAGUGGUGGACCAGUGGAAUUCAUGAGAGAGCAGCUCUGGGACAAUCACUUCCAGUUCAGUAACACUUUGUCUUCCUUUGCUUUGCUAAAUUGCAUAAAGUCAAUGGUUCAAGGUCAAUUUCCAUGUGCUUCUUAGAGUGUCCCCAAACCAGCUCUGACAUAGUCAGAUCUUUCUUACAAGGCAGCACCACAGUGUGAUGAAGGAAGUAAAACAAUCCCAAAUACCUGAACCUUCAGAAUCUACUCUUAAAAAAAAAAAAAAAAAAAGGGCAAACAAAACAAACAACAAAAAAAGCACCUUUAAAAUCCCCUUGACGAAUUUCAGGUCACAGCUUAUUGGUGGUUCACUUUGUGCCAGUCAGAGAUUUACAUUUCCCCCACCAAGAAGGAAAACCUUUCUACCACAAAAGUUGAUGCCAAAACCUAACCCUCUGGCCAAAGCUAUUUUCCCUACAAUAACGUCUCUCUUGCUUACUCUUUUAUAAAACAACUCUUUAACUGUU
Serinus canaria (Common canary) is the source of this 3802-nucleotide long non-coding RNA. RefSeq lists it as uncharacterized. The transcript is spliced from 4 exons. NCBI's taxonomy places the organism in Eukaryota, Metazoa, Chordata, Aves, Passeriformes, Fringillidae. The record is from RefSeq and is a predicted model, not a curated record.